RNAcentral lists this long non-coding RNA (328 nucleotides) under Phoenix dactylifera (date palm). Its description in RNAcentral is "long non-coding RNA (PDAC_LNC011803)". The record is from RNAcentral. Lineage: Eukaryota; Viridiplantae; Streptophyta; Magnoliopsida; Arecales; Arecaceae.
UACAAUACAUGAUCGGUGACCGAUGCCCCUUCCCUCAUACGGGCAUUGAAUAUAGCGCAGGAGGUCUUAUGUCGUUCAACAUCAUCAGGUGUGCGAAAGACUCCUUCAACAUUUGAAGGAUUUCCACUGGCUGUGCUUCCUCGAAUUUACGACUAAACUCAUCAUUCAUCGAGGCCCUCAUGAUGCAACGCACUGUAGUGCGAUCGUUGAGCCACUUCUGAUAAGCGUCUCUGAUUGCACGUGGUGCAUUGGCUGCAGGUUCCUCAGGUGCAGGAUCCGAUAUCACAUACAGGAUCCGCUCAUGCUCUAAUACUAUUUUCAUCUUUCG